Molecule: transfer RNA, 72 nt
Filed under: Ovis aries (sheep)
Lineage: Eukaryota; Metazoa; Chordata; Mammalia; Artiodactyla; Bovidae
Rfam family: tRNA
About the family: Transfer RNA (tRNA) molecules are approximately 80 nucleotides in length.
Source: Rfam by way of RNAcentral
UCCCAGGUGGCUCAGAUGGUAAAGCGUCUGUUUACAAUGCAGGAGACCUGAGUUCGAUCCCUGGGUUGGGAA